UACGUAGGGUGCGAGCGUUGUCCGGAAUUAUUGGGCGUAAAGGGCUCGUAGGCGGCUCAGUAAGUCGGGUGUGAAACCUCCAGGCUCAACCUGGAGACGCCACUCGAUACUGCUGUGGCUAGAGUCCGGUAGGGGAGCAUGGAAUUCCUGGUGUAGCGGUGAAAUGCGCAGAUAUCAGGAGGAACACCAGUGGCGAAGGCGGUGCUCUGGGCCGGAACUGACGCUGAUGAGCGAAAGCGUGGGGAGCGAACAGG
This 254-nucleotide ribosomal RNA is filed under the name uncultured bacterium. RNAcentral describes it as "partial 16S ribosomal RNA". It matches the Rfam family "Bacterial small subunit ribosomal RNA", at positions 524 to 776 of the family's 1533-position model. The record is from RNAcentral.